GACGAACGCUGGCGGCGUGCUUAACACGUGCAAGUCGAACGGAAAGGCCCCUUCGGGGGUACUCGAGCGGCGAACGGGUGAGUAACACGUGAGUAACCUGCCCUUGACUUCGGGAUAACUUCAGGAAACUGGGGCUAAUACCGGAUAGGAAUCCUUGCUGCAUGGUGGGGGUUGGAAAGCUUCGGCGGUUUUGGAUGGACUCGCGGCUUAUCAGCUUGUUGGUGGGGUAGUGGCUUACCAAGGCUUUGACGGGUAGCCGGCCUGAGAGGGCGACCGGCCACAUUGGGACUGAGAUACGGCCCAGACUCCUACGGGAGGCAGCAGUGGGGAAUAUUGCACAAUGGGCGGAAGCCUGAUGCAGCAACGCCGCGUGCGGGAUGACGGCCUUCGGGUUGUAAACCGCUUUCAGCAGGGGCGAAGCUUGUGGUGACGGUACCUGCAGAAGAAGCACCGGCUAACUACGUG
RNAcentral lists this ribosomal RNA (465 nucleotides) under uncultured bacterium. RNAcentral describes it as "partial 16S ribosomal RNA". It matches the Rfam family "Bacterial small subunit ribosomal RNA", at positions 28 to 507 of the family's 1533-position model. The record is from RNAcentral.